This 501-nucleotide ribosomal RNA is filed under the name uncultured bacterium. RNAcentral's name for it is "partial 16S ribosomal RNA". It matches the Rfam family "Bacterial small subunit ribosomal RNA", at positions 28 to 507 of the family's 1533-position model. The record is from RNAcentral.
GACGAACGCUGGCGGCGUGCCUAAUACAUGCAAGUCGAGCGGACCGGAUUGGGGCUUGCCUUGAUUCGGUCAGCGGCGGACGGGUGAGUAACACGUGGGCAACCUGCCCGCAAGACCGGGAUAACUCCGGGAAACCGGAGCUAAUACCGGAUAACACCGAAGACCGCAUGGUCUUCGGUUGAAAGGCGGCCUUUGGGCUGUCACUUGCGGAUGGGCCCGCGGCGCAUUAGCUAGUUGGUGAGGUAACGGCUCACCAAGGCGACGAUGCGUAGCCGGCCUGAGAGGGUGACCGGCCACGCUGGGACUGAGACACGGCCCAGACUCCUACGGGAGGCAGCAGUAGGGAAUCUUCCGCAAUGGGCGAAAGCCUGACGGAGCGACGCCGCGUGAGCGAAGAAGGCCGUCGAGUCGUAAAGCUCUGUUGUGAGGGACGAAGGAGCGUCGUUCGAAGAGGGCGGCGCGGUGACGGUACCUCACGAGAAAGCCCCGGCUAACUACGUG